CCUACGGGAGGCAGCAGUGGGGAAUCUUGCGCAAUGGGCGAAAGCCUGACGCAGCAACGCCGCGUGCGGGAUGAAGGCCUUCGGGUUGUAAACCGCUUUCAGCAGGGAAGAAAAUGACGGUACCUGCAGAAGAAGCCCCGGCCAACUACGUGCCAGCAGCCGCGGUAACACGUAGGGGGCGAGCGUUGUCCGGAUUUAUUGGGCGUAAAGAGCUCGUAGGCGGUUCGGUAAGUCGGGUGUGAAACCUCCAGGCUCAACCUGGAGACGCCACCUGAUACUGCUGUGACUCGAGUCCGGUAGGGGAGUGCGGAACUCCUGGUGUAGCGGUGAAAUGCGCAGAUAUCAGGAAGAACACCAGCGGCGAAGGCGGCACUCUGGGCCGGUACUGACGCUGAGGAGCGAAAGCGUGGGUAGCAAACAGGAUUAGAUACCCUAGUAGUC
RNAcentral lists this ribosomal RNA (441 nucleotides) under uncultured bacterium. Its description in RNAcentral is "bacterial SSU rRNA". It matches the Rfam family "Bacterial small subunit ribosomal RNA", at positions 338 to 795 of the family's 1533-position model. The record is from RNAcentral.